CCUCUGCCGAGUUUGCCCAUGAUAUACUCGCAGCAUGGUCGUCACAAGGUCGUAGGAGGUCGUAGAUAGGUUGAGAUGCUAGUCGUGGAUACUCGAGGCAUCAAGCAGGUCGGGGCGUUUAUUCAACAUGAUGAAAAAUGUCCACGAGUAAAAAAGGUCAUUAAUUAGGUCCUGGAAGCGGUACAGGCCCUUUACUACACCCCAUUGA
Molecule: long non-coding RNA, 208 nt
Organism: Amblyraja radiata (thorny skate)
Lineage: Eukaryota; Metazoa; Chordata; Chondrichthyes; Rajiformes; Rajidae
Exons: 3
Source: RefSeq, a predicted model, not a curated record